UAGGGAAUCUUCCGCAAUGGACGCAAGUCUGACGGAGCAACGCCGCGUGAGUGAAGAAGGAUUUCGGUUCGUAAAACUCUGUUGUUAGAGAAGAACAGCGCAUAGAGUAACUGUUAUGCGUGUGACGGUAUCUAACCAGAAAGCCACGGCUAACUACGUGCCAGCAGCCGCGGUAAUACGUAGGUGGCAAGCGUUGUCCGGAUUUAUUGGGCGUAAAGCGAGCGCAGGCGGUCAAUUAAGUCUGAUGUGAAAGCCCCCGGCUCAACCGGGGAGGGUCAGUGGAAACUGGGUGACUUGAGGGCAGAAGAGGAGAGUGGAAUUCCAUGUGUAGCGGUGAAAUGCGUAGAUAUAUGGAGGAACACCAGUGGCGAAGGCGACUCUCUGGUCUGUAACUGACGCUGAGGCUCGAAAGCGUGGGUAGCAAACAGG
Molecule: ribosomal RNA, 429 nt
Filed under: Bacteroidota bacterium
Lineage: Bacteria; Pseudomonadati; Bacteroidota
Description: Bacteroidetes bacterium partial 16S ribosomal RNA
Rfam family: Bacterial small subunit ribosomal RNA
Source: RNAcentral